GGGGAUUUAGCUCAGUGGUAGAGUACUUGCCUAGCAAGCACAAGGCCCUGGGUUCAGUCCCCAGCUCCG
Non-coding RNA from Rattus norvegicus (Norway rat), 69 nucleotides. The record is from Rfam. NCBI's taxonomy places the organism in Eukaryota, Metazoa, Chordata, Mammalia, Rodentia, Muridae.